GUGAGGAAUAUUGGUCAAUGGGCGAGAGCCUGAACCAGCCAAGUCGCGUGAAGGAAGACGGCCCUACGGGUUGUAAACUUCUUUUGCAAUGGAAUAAAAAGAGUUACGUGUAAUUCAUUGUAUGUACAUUGCGAAUAAGGAUCGGCUAACUCCGUGCCAGCAGCCGCGGUAAUACGGAGGAUCCGAGCGUUAUCCGGAUUUAUUGGGUUUAAAGGGUGCGUAGGCGGAUUGGAAAGUCAGCGGUGAAAGUUUGCAGCUUAACUGUAAAAUUGCCAUUGAAACUGUCAGUCUUGAGUGCAAAGGAGGUAGGCGGAAUGUGUUGUGUAGCGGUGAAAUGCAUAGAUAUAACACAGAACACCAAUUGCGAAGGCAGCUUACUGGGAUGCAACUGACGCUGAGGCACGAAAGCGUGGGGAUCAAACAGGAUUAGAUACCCGUGUAGUCC
RNAcentral lists this ribosomal RNA (445 nucleotides) under uncultured bacterium. Its description in RNAcentral is "partial 16S ribosomal RNA". It matches the Rfam family "Bacterial small subunit ribosomal RNA", at positions 354 to 796 of the family's 1533-position model. The record is from RNAcentral.